GACACCGCGCUCACCGAAGAGUGGGCCAGGGAGUUACUGUCCGCUGCGGGCGUGGUCGCGCCACAAGAGGUACGAGUGGAAUCCCGUGCGGGAGUCGCCGGUGCCCUGAGCAGGGUACUCGCGGUAACCGUACGCUACGAGAGCAACGGAGAACGCGAAGCCCUGCCUCUAGUCGUGAAGUUACCACCACGGGACCCUUUCGGAAGGCUCUUUGUCGCUGAGGCCCAGUUCGAUACACGAGAGAUACUCUUCUACACCGAAUUAGCUCCGGUUCUCAACCGUUUGGCAGAAGAGGCCUUUGGUCCGGGUCAAGGGCUACCAAUACCUAAAUGUGUGAAGGCUAGACUACCGGAUGAGAUUGGAGGUGACAGUGAGUUGGUCCUUGAAGAUGUCACAGC
Molecule: long non-coding RNA, 398 nt
Organism: Papilio polytes (common Mormon)
Lineage: Eukaryota; Metazoa; Arthropoda; Insecta; Lepidoptera; Papilionidae
Exons: 3
Source: RefSeq, a predicted model, not a curated record